GACGAACGCUGGCGGCGUGCCUAAUACAUGCAAGUAGAACGCUGAAGGAGGAGCUUGCUUCUCUGGAUGAGUUGCGAACGGGUGAGUAACGCGUAGGUAACCUGCCUGGUAGCGGGGGAUAACUAUUGGAAACGAUAGCUAAUACCGCAUAAGAGUAGAUGUUGCAUGACAUUUGCUUAAAAGGUGCAAUUGCAUCACUACCAGAUGGACCUGCGUUGUAUUAGCUAGUUGGUGGGGUAACGGCUCACCAAGGCGACGAUACAUAGCCGACCUGAGAGGGUGAUCGGCCACACUGGGACUGAGACACGGCCCAGACUACUACGGGAGGCAGCAGUAGGGAAUCUUCGGCAAUGGACGGAAGUCUGACCGAGCAACGCCGCGUGAGUGAAGAAGGUUUUCGGAUCGUAAAGCUCUGUUGUAAGAGAAGAACGAGUGUGAGAGUGGAAAGUUCACACUGUGACGGUAUCUUACCAGAAAGGGACGGCUAACUACGUG
RNAcentral lists this ribosomal RNA (495 nucleotides) under uncultured bacterium. Its description in RNAcentral is "partial 16S ribosomal RNA". It matches the Rfam family "Bacterial small subunit ribosomal RNA", at positions 28 to 507 of the family's 1533-position model. The record is from RNAcentral.